GCAUCCUUAGCUCAGUUGGAUAGAGCAACAACCUUCUAAGUUGGAGGUCACAGGUUCAAMUCCUGUAGRAUGCG
RNAcentral lists this transfer RNA (74 nucleotides) under Ptychanthus striatus. RNAcentral's name for it is "tRNA-Arg". It matches the Rfam family "tRNA". Rfam says of the family: Transfer RNA (tRNA) molecules are approximately 80 nucleotides in length. The record is from RNAcentral. Lineage: Eukaryota; Viridiplantae; Streptophyta; Jungermanniopsida; Porellales; Lejeuneaceae.